This 201-nucleotide long non-coding RNA is filed under the name Nicotiana benthamiana. RNAcentral's name for it is "long non-coding RNA (NBEN_LNC004679)". Lineage: Eukaryota; Viridiplantae; Streptophyta; Magnoliopsida; Solanales; Solanaceae. The record is from RNAcentral.
AUUGUUAAGCAUAGACAAUCGAUUGUUGACUAUUUUGAAAAAUUCCAGAUUACACUGUCUAAUGACAAUCGAUUGUUAGACAUAGACAAUCGAUUGUAAAUGAUUUUUGAAAAAUUCCAGAUUACACUGUCUAACGAUAAUCGAUUGUUAAACACUGACAAUCGAUUGUUGACUGUUUUUGAAAAAUUCCAGAACACACUG